Molecule: ribosomal RNA, 254 nt
Filed under: uncultured bacterium
Lineage: Bacteria
Description: partial 16S ribosomal RNA
Rfam family: Bacterial small subunit ribosomal RNA
Source: RNAcentral
UACGAAGGGGGCUAGCGUUGCUCGGAAUUACUGGGCGUAAAGGGAGCGUAGGCGGACAUUUAAGUCAGGGGUGAAAUCCCAAGAGCUCAACUCUGGAACUGCCUUUGAUACUGGAUGUCUUGAGUGUGAGAGAGGUAUGUGGAACUCCGAGUGUAGAGGUGAAAUUCGUAGAUAUUCGGAAGAACACCAGUGGCGAAGGCGACAUACUGGCUCAUUACUGACGCUGAGGCUCGAAAGCGUGGGGAGCAAACAGG